CGGAGUGUAGCGCAGCCUGGUAGCGCACUUGGUUCGGGACCAAGGAGUCGCUGGUUCAAAUCCAGUCACUCCGA
This 74-nucleotide transfer RNA is filed under the name Fibrobacter sp. RNAcentral describes it as "tRNA-Pro". It matches the Rfam family "tRNA". From Rfam's summary of the family: Transfer RNA (tRNA) molecules are approximately 80 nucleotides in length. Their secondary structure includes four short double-helical elements and three loops (D, anti-codon, and T loops). The record is from RNAcentral. Lineage: Bacteria; Pseudomonadati; Fibrobacterota; Fibrobacteria; Fibrobacterales; Fibrobacteraceae.